RNAcentral lists this ribosomal RNA (375 nucleotides) under uncultured bacterium. Its description in RNAcentral is "bacterial SSU rRNA". It matches the Rfam family "Bacterial small subunit ribosomal RNA", at positions 524 to 898 of the family's 1533-position model. The record is from RNAcentral.
UACGAAGGGGGCUAGCGUUGCUCGGAAUUACUGGGCGUAAAGGGCGCGUAGGCGGCCGACCAAGUCAGGCGUGAAAUUCCCGGGCUCAACCUGGGGGCUGCGCUUGAGACUGGUUGGCUAGAGGCCGAGAGAGGGUGGUGGAAUUCCCAGUGUAGAGGUGAAAUUCGUAGAUAUUGGGAAGAACACCGGUGGCGAAGGCGGCCACCUGGCUCGGUACUGACGCUGAGGCGCGACAGCGUGGGGAGCAAACAGGAUUAGAUACCCUGGUAGUCCACGCCGUAAACGAUGUGCGCUGAAUGUUGGGGUUCCUAGAACCUCAGUGUUGUAGCUAACGCGGUAAGCGCACCGCCUGGGGAGUACGGCCGCAAGGUUGAA